UACGAAGGGGGCUAGCGUUGCUCGGAAUCACUGGGCGUAAAGCGCACGUAGGCGGCUUUUUAAGUCAGGGGUGAAAUCCCGGAGCUCAACUUCGGAACUGCCUUUGAUACAGCACGUCUUGAGUCCGAUAGAGGUGGGUGGAAUUCCUAGUGUAGAGGUGAAAUUCGUAGAUAUUAGGAAGAACACCGGUGGCGAAGGCGGCGACCUGGGUAGAUACUGACGCUGAGGCGCGAAAGCGUGGGGAGCAAACAGG
RNAcentral lists this ribosomal RNA (253 nucleotides) under uncultured bacterium. RNAcentral describes it as "partial 16S ribosomal RNA". It matches the Rfam family "Bacterial small subunit ribosomal RNA", at positions 524 to 776 of the family's 1533-position model. The record is from RNAcentral.